Long non-coding RNA from Micropterus dolomieu (smallmouth bass), 471 nucleotides. RefSeq lists it as uncharacterized. The record is from RefSeq and is a predicted model, not a curated record. Lineage: Eukaryota; Metazoa; Chordata; Actinopteri; Centrarchiformes; Centrarchidae. The transcript has 4 exons.
ACAGCCACGUCCUGAUGCCUGAAGGUAAAGCUGGCAUGAAGAGGCAGGGAAGGAAGGAACAAUCAGCUAAUGGGAGGAUUAUCAGCCUGGCUCUUCUUUAAAUAAGUGAAGCAAGUGUGACCUUGGAGUCAGAGGGAAUGGAUGACAGGCUGAUAUUAGAACCUGGACAUUGUGCUUCUACAGUAUGUUGUUUACCUGAACCUCUUGAGCCAACAGGACACAAACUCUUUCAGUUGUCAGAAUCAAAGACUUCAGCCUGCUUUGUUCCUGUGUGCUGAAUCGCUGCCUGCCUACCUGUUUGCCUGCCAACCUGCCUGCCAAUCUGUCCGCCCUGAACCGAGCUCUAGGACGUCAUCGUCGGACCCCUGCUGAGUCUCUGAUGCUGAUGGUCUGAGUUCUCUGCUUCCUCCCCAACCCUCUGGUUUUCCUCAAAGCACAUUGAAAAUUAAACCUGCCUGUGUUCUUAUCAUC